Molecule: non-coding RNA, 1203 nt
Organism: Microcebus murinus (gray mouse lemur)
Lineage: Eukaryota; Metazoa; Chordata; Mammalia; Primates; Cheirogaleidae
Source: RefSeq, a predicted model, not a curated record
GGCACCAUGGCCGUGAGGCCGCAGCCCCCGGGCGGUGCCGUGGCAGCUACCGCCUACCCCGACACCCCCGUCGAAUUUCCCCCGUACCUCCAGGCGGGCGCGAUGCGGCGCCGCUUCUGGGGCGUGUUCAACUGCCUGUGCGCCGGCGCGUUCGGGGCCCUGGCCGCCGCCUCCGCCAAGCUGGCCUUCGGCAGCGAGGCGGUAAGAGACGUCGGGGACUGAGGCCUCCUCCCUUACCAGGCACCUAAAAUCUUUCCUCCGAUUGGGCUAGUUCGCUCUCGGGGAAGAUCUACACCUCCUACAUCCACCCUCUACCUCUCAUUUUAAGCCCCUUGUGCCUGAGCAUUUCUCUCCACGUGACUCUUAAGGUGAACGUAGGCUUAUCCGUCUUAGGCAUCAUAGUGAUGGCAAGCACCAAUUCCCUGAUGUGGACCUUCUUUAGCCGGGGCCUCAGUUUCUCCAUGUCUUCAGCCAUUGCAUCUGUCACAGUGACUUUUUCAAACAUCCUCAGCUCGGCCUUCCUGGGCUAUGUGCUGUAUGGAGAGUGCCAGGAGGUGUUGUGGUGGGGAGGAGUGUUCCUCAUCCUCUGCGGACUCACACUGAUCCACAGGAAGCUCCCGCCCACCUGGAAGAGCCUUCCACACAAGCAGCAGUAGCACCAAUUGGCUGGACAGAACAGCAGGAAAGAUAAUGAUGGCGGCCCAGCCUGGGGUUGGUGUGUGGGACUGCUUCCCAGGGGACCCACGUGUGCAGCCUUCUGACCAUCAGCCAAGAGGAGAUGCUAGACCAGCCAGGCCUUUGGGCCAGCCCUGCUCCCAAGGGAGGCAGGCCUCUGACAGAGCCGCUUUGAGGGUGGACAGCUCUGGCUUCUGUAAGGGGGGUACAACCACAGCAGUGUUCUGCCCGAGGCAUUCCUGAUCAUCUGUACAGUGCUUUUGAUUCUUGUGCUCCCAGGCCUGCCCCAGUGAGCUUGGCAGGUGCUGGAGAUCUGGGCUGGGUCUGCUUUGAGUAUGGUGCUUGAAACCACACCGUAAUUAUAGUCCUAUUGCCUGACCAAGGCCAGUCACUUAACUCUACAUCAGUGACUGGGGGGGCUUUCUGACAACUCCAUGCUAAUGUACCCGGCCAUCUGUGUCACACCUACGUAUUAUGGCAGGAGAAGGGAAACUGGGUUAAUAAAUAUUGUUUUGUAAGUUAAAAUGA